Molecule: ribosomal RNA, 424 nt
Filed under: uncultured bacterium
Lineage: Bacteria
Description: bacterial SSU rRNA
Rfam family: Bacterial small subunit ribosomal RNA
Source: RNAcentral
GGGCCCGCACAAGCGGUGGAGCAUGUGGUUUAAUUCGAUGCAACGCGAAAAACCUUACCAGGCCUUGACAUCCAGAGAACUUACCAGAGAUGGUUUGGUGCCUUCGGGAACUCUGUGACAGGUGUUGCAUGGCUGUCGUCAGCUCGUGUCGUGAGAUGUUGGGUUAAGUCCCGUAACGAGCGCAACCCUUAUCCUUAUUUGCCAGCACGUAAUGGUGGGAACUUUAAGGAGACUGCCGGUGACAAACCGGAGGAAGGAGAGGAUGAUGUCAAGUCAUCAUGGCCCUUACGGCCUGGGCUACACACGUGCUACAAUGGGAAGUACAAAGGGUCGCAAUGCCGCGAGGUGGAGCAAAUCCCAAAAACUUUUCGUAGUCCGGAUUGGAGUCUGCAACUCGACUCCAUGAAGUCGGAAUCGCUAGUAA